Molecule: long non-coding RNA, 209 nt
Filed under: Setaria italica (foxtail millet)
Lineage: Eukaryota; Viridiplantae; Streptophyta; Magnoliopsida; Poales; Poaceae
Description: long non-coding RNA (SITA_LNC004208)
Source: RNAcentral
UUACUUUUAUUAACUCCCAAUAUUUCUCCAGUAAUUUAUCUUAUAAACCCCUGGAUUUAGUUUAGUAAGUGCAACUAUGAAUUUGAACAAUCUUCCAAAAAUAAUGGAGCACAUCUGUCAUCCGUUGCUAGUUAAGAUAUUGCCUCCAAAGUAAAAGAUCAUCAAUCUUUCUGGAUUCAGCGUAUCAAUAUUCUCCACACACAUUGAGA